This 400-nucleotide ribosomal RNA is filed under the name uncultured bacterium. RNAcentral describes it as "bacterial SSU rRNA". It matches the Rfam family "Bacterial small subunit ribosomal RNA", at positions 355 to 752 of the family's 1533-position model. The record is from RNAcentral.
UGAGGAAUAUUGGGCAAUGGACGCAAGUCUGACCCAGCCAUGCCGCGUGGAGGAUGAAGGCCCUCUGGGUUGUAAACUUCUUUUAUUGGGGAAGAAACCUCCGAUUUCUAUUGGAGCCGACGGUACCCGAUGAAUAAGCACCGGCUAACUCCGUGCCAGCAGCCGCGGUAAUACGGAGGGUGCAAGCGUUAUCCGGAUUCACUGGGUUUAAAGGGUGUGUAGGCGGGCCGUUAAGUCAGUGGUGAAAUCCCAGAGCUCAACUCUGGAACUGCCAUUGAUACUAUCGGUCUUGAAUAUCGUUGAGGUGGGCGGAAUACAUCAUGUAGCGGUGAAAUGCUUAGAUAUGAUGUAGAACACCGAUUGCGAAGGCAGCUCACUAAACGAUCAUUGACGCUGAGGC